UUUGUUGGUGGGGUAAUGGCCUACCAAGACGAUGAUGUGUAGCUGGACUGAGAGGUCGAACAGCCACAUUGGGACUGAGACACGGCCCAAACUCCUACGGGAGGCAGCAGUAGGGAAUUUUCGGCAAUGGAGGAAACUCUGACCGAGCAACGCCGCGUGAACGAUGAAGUAUUUCGGUAUGUAAAGUUCUUUUAUUGAAGAAGAAAAAAUAGUGGAAAAACUAUCUUGACGUUAUUCAAUGAAUAAGCCCCGGCUAACUAUGUGCCAGCAGCCGCGGUAAGACAUAGGGGGCGAGCGUUAUCCGGAAUUAUUGGGCGUAAAGGGUGCGUAGGCGGUUAGGAAAGUCUAUAAUUUAAUUUCAGUGCUUAACGCUGUCUUGUUAUAGAAACUACCUUGACUAGAGUUAGAUAGAGGCAAGCGGAAUUCCAUGUGUAGCGGUAAAAUGUGUAAAUAUAUGGAGGAACACCAGAAGCGUAGGCGGCUUGCUGGGUCUUGACUGACGCUGAGGCACGAAAGCGUGGGUAGCAAACAGGAUUAGAUACCCUGGUAGUCCACGCCGUAAACGAUGAGUACUAAGUGUCGGGAUAAAACUCGGUACUGAAGUUAACACAUUAAGUACUCCGCCUGAGUAGUACGUACGCAAGUAUGAAACUUAAAGGAAUUGACGGGACUCCGCACAAGCGGUGGAUCAUGUUGUUUAAUUCGAAGAUACACGAAAAAUCUUACCAGGUCUUGACAUGCUCUGCAAAGCUAUAGAAAUAUAGUGGAGGUUAUCAGGGACACAGGUGGUGCAUGGUUGUCGUCAGUUUGUGUCGUGAGAUGUUAGGUUAAGUCCUAAAACGAGCGCAACCCUUGUCGUUAGUUACCAGCACGUAAUGGUGGGCACUUUAACGAGACUGCCAAUUAAACAUUGGAGGAAGGUGAGGAUUACGUCAAAUCAUCAUGCCCCUUAUGAUCUGGGCUACAAACGUGAUACAAUGGCUGUUACAAAGAGUAGCUGAAGCGCGAGUUUUUAGCCAAUCUCAAAAA
This 1029-nucleotide ribosomal RNA is filed under the name Candidatus Phytoplasma fraxini. RNAcentral describes it as "bacterial SSU rRNA". It matches the Rfam family "Bacterial small subunit ribosomal RNA", at positions 245 to 1280 of the family's 1533-position model. The record is from RNAcentral. Lineage: Bacteria; Bacillati; Mycoplasmatota; Mollicutes; Acholeplasmatales; Acholeplasmataceae.